UAGUCCUGGCUCAGAUUGAACGCUGCGGCAGGCCUAACACAUGCAAGUCGAGCGGUAGAGAGAAGCUUGCUUCUCUUGAGAGCGGCGACGGGUGAGUAAUGCCUAGGAAGUCUGCCUGGUAGUGGGGGAUAACGUUCGGAACGGACGCUAAUACCGCAUACGUCCUACGGGAGAAAGCAGGGGACCUUCGGGCCUUGCGCUAUCAGAUGAGCCUAGGUCGGAUUAGCUAGUUGGUGGGGUAAUGGCUCACCAAGGCGACGAUCCGUAACUGGUCUGAGAGGAUGAUCAGUCACACUGGAACUGAGACACGGUCCAGACUCCUACGGGAGGCAGCAUGGGGAAUAUUGGACAAUGGGCGAAAGCCUGAUCCAGCCAUGCCGCGUGUGUGAAGAAGGUCUUCGGAUUGUAAAGCACUUUAAGUUGGGAGGAAGGGCAGUAAAUUAAUACUUUGCUGUUUUGACGUUACCGACAGAAUAAGCACCGGCUAACUCUGUG
This 495-nucleotide ribosomal RNA is filed under the name uncultured Pseudomonas sp. Its description in RNAcentral is "bacterial SSU rRNA". It matches the Rfam family "Bacterial small subunit ribosomal RNA", at positions 14 to 507 of the family's 1533-position model. The record is from RNAcentral. Lineage: Bacteria; Pseudomonadati; Pseudomonadota; Gammaproteobacteria; Pseudomonadales; Pseudomonadaceae.